RNAcentral lists this ribosomal RNA (1435 nucleotides) under uncultured organism. Its description in RNAcentral is "16S ribosomal RNA". It matches the Rfam family "Bacterial small subunit ribosomal RNA". The record is from RNAcentral.
CAGGCUUAACACAUGCAAGUCGAGGGGCAUCAGGAAGAAAGCUUGCUUUCUUUGCUGGCGACCGGCGCACGGGUGAGUAACACGUAUCCAACCUGCCCUUUACUCGGGGAUAGCCUUUCGAAAGAAAGAUUAAUACCCGAUGGCAUAAUGAUUCCGCAUGGUUUCAUUAUUAAAGGAUUCCGGUAAAGGAUGGGGAUGCGUUCCAUUAGGUUGUUGGUGAGGUAACGGCUCACCAAGCCUUCGAUGGAUAGGGGUUCUGAGAGGAAGGUCCCCCACAUUGGAACUGAGACACGGUCCAAACUCCUACGGGAGGCAGCAGUGAGGAAUAUUGGUCAAUGGGCGCUAGCCUGAACCAGCCAAGUAGCGUGAAGGAUGAAGGCUCUAUGGGUCGUAAACUUCUUUUAUAUAAGAAUAAAGUGCAGUAUGUAUACUGUUUUGUAUGUAUUAUAUGAAUAAGGAUCGGCUAACUCCGUGCCAGCAGCCGCGGUAAUACGGAGGAUCCGAGCGUUAUCCGGAUUUAUUGGGUUUAAAGGGAGCGUAGGUGGACUGGUAAGUCAGUUGUGAAAGUUUGCGGCUCAACCGUAAAAUUGCAGUUGAUACUGUCAGUCUUGAGUACAGUAGAGGUGGGCGGAAUUCGUGGUGUAGCGGUGAAAUGCUUAGAUAUCACGAAGAACUCCGAUUGCGAAGGCAGCUCACUGGACUGCAACUGACACUGAUGCUCGAAAGUGUGGGUAUCAAACAGGAUUAGAUACCCUGGUAGUCCACACAGUAAACGAUGAAUACUCGCUGUUUGCGAUAUACAGUAAGCAGCCAAGCGAAAGCAUUAAGUAUUCCACCUGGGGAGUACGCCGGCAACGGUGAAACUCAAAGGAAUUGACGGGGGCCCGCACAAGCGGAGGAACAUGUGGUUUAAUUCGAUGAUACGCGAGGAACCUUACCCGGGCUUAAAUUGCAGUGGAAUGAUGUGGAAACAUGUCAGUGAGCAAUCACCGCUGUGAAGGUGCUGCAUGGUUGUCGUCAGCUCGUGCCGUGAGGUGUCGGCUUAAGUGCCAUAACGAGCGCAACCCUUAUCUUUAGUUACUAACAGGUCAUGCUGAGGACUCUAGAGAGACUGCCGUCGUAAGAUGUGAGGAAGGUGGGGAUGACGUCAAAUCAGCACGGCCCUUACGUCCGGGGCUACACACGUGUUACAAUGGGGGGUACAGAAGGCAGCUAGCGGGUGACCGUAUGCUAAUCCCAAAAGCCUCUCUCAGUUCGGAUCGAAGUCUGCAACCCGACUUCGUGAAGCUGGAUUCGCUAGUAAUCGCGCAUCAGCCACGGCGCGGUGAAUACGUUCCCGGGCCUUGUACACACCGCCCGUCAAGCCAUGGGAGCCGGGGGUACCUGAAGUGCGUAACCGCAAGGAUCGUCCUAGGGUAAAACUGGUGACUGGGGC